RNAcentral lists this transfer RNA (69 nucleotides) under Capros aper (boarfish). RNAcentral's name for it is "tRNA-Arg". The stretch from base 5 to 65 matches the Rfam family "tRNA". Rfam says of the family: Transfer RNA (tRNA) molecules are approximately 80 nucleotides in length. Their secondary structure includes four short double-helical elements and three loops (D, anti-codon, and T loops). The record is from RNAcentral. Lineage: Eukaryota; Metazoa; Chordata; Actinopteri; Caproiformes; Caproidae.
AGGGGGUUAGUUUUAAGAAAACGUUUGGUUUCGGCCCAAAAAUUUGUGGUUCAAACCCACAGCCAUCCU